AAUCAACGCUGGCGGCGUGCCUAACACAUGCAAGUCGAACGCGACUGGGGCUUCGGCCUCAGUUGAGUGGCGAACGGGUGAGUAACACGUGGGUGACCUACCUUCGAAUGGGGGAUAACGUCCCGAAAGGGACGCUAAUACCGCAUAACAUCCUGCCUUUGAACAGGCGGAGAUCAAAGCCGGGGAUCGCAAGACCUGGCGUUUGAAGAGGGGCCCGCGUCCGAUUAGCUAGUUGGG
RNAcentral lists this ribosomal RNA (237 nucleotides) under uncultured bacterium. RNAcentral's name for it is "partial 16S ribosomal RNA". It matches the Rfam family "Bacterial small subunit ribosomal RNA", at positions 32 to 253 of the family's 1533-position model. The record is from RNAcentral.